Molecule: ribosomal RNA, 435 nt
Filed under: uncultured bacterium
Lineage: Bacteria
Description: partial 16S ribosomal RNA
Rfam family: Bacterial small subunit ribosomal RNA
Source: RNAcentral
AGCGAACGCUGGCGGCAGGCUUAACACAUGCAAGUCGAGCGGGCACUUUCGGGUGUCAGCGGCGGACGGGUGAGUAACGCGUGGGAACGUGCCCUCUGGUUCGGAAUAACUCAGGGAAACUUGAGCUAAUACCGGAUACGCCCUUUUGGGGAAAGGCUUGCUGCCGGAGGAUCGGCCCGCGUCUGAUUAGCUAGUUGUUGAGGUAACGGCUCACCAAGGCGACGAUCAGUAGCUGGUCUGAGAGGAUGAUCAGCCACACUGGGACUGAGACACGGCCCAGACUCCUACGGGAGGCAGCAGUGGGGAAUAUUGGACAAUGGGCGCAAGACUGAUCCAGCCAUGCCGCGUGAGUGAUGAAGGCCUUAGGGUUGUAAAGCUCUUUUAUCCGGGACGAUAAUGACGGUACCGGAGGAAUAAGCCCCGGCUAACUUCGUG